AUGGCGUGCAUCAAGAGCGCGCAGCGCGCGGCGCUGACGGCGCUCGCGCCGGAGGCGCCCUACCUCGCCGCCGGCACCAUGAGCGGCGCCGUCGACAUGCAAUUCUCCGCGUCGGCCAACAUCGAGAUCUUCAGCCUCGACUUCCAGUCCGACUCCCCCGACCUGCCCCUCCUCGCCGCGGCCCCCUCCCCCGACCGCUUCAACCGCCUCUGCUGGUCCCGCCCGGGCGCCGCCGACGGCGACUCCUUCUCCCUCGGCCUCCUCGCCGGCGGCCUCAGCGACGGCUCCGUCGCCGUCUGGAACCCGCUCAGCAUGAUCAGCUCCGAGGGGCAAGCGGAGGACGUCAUGGUCGCGCAGCUCGAGAAGCACAACGGGGCGGUCACUGGAUUGGAGUUUAGCGAGCUCACACCCAAUCGGCUCGCUUCAGGGGGUAACGAGGGGGACAUUUGCAUCUGGGAUCUCAAAAACCCCUGCGAGCCAAACGUCUUCCCGCCACUGAAGAAUGUUGGUUCGAAUGCUCAAGCUGAAAUAUCUUGCUUAACCUGGAAUCCCAAGUUUCAGCAUAUACUAGCAUCAGCUUCUAGUAACGGGAUUACAGUAGUUUGGGAUUUGAGAACCCAGAAACCAUUAACUAGCUUUUCAGAUUCAAAUAGAAGGAACUGUUCUGUUCUCCAGUGGAAUCCAGACAUGUCCACCCAGCUAAUUCUUGCAUCAGAUGACGACAACUCUCCUUCUUUGAGAGUAUGGGAUGUGAGGAAAACCAUUGCACCUGUACGGGAAUUUGUGGGACACUCAAAAGGUGUAAUUGGUAUGUCAUGGUGCCCCUAUGACAGUUCAUUCUUGCUUACUUGUGCUAAAGACAAUAGAACAAUAUGCUGGGAUACAGUUAGUGGAGAGAUUAUCAGUGAGCUACCAACAAGCUCUAAUGGUAACUUUGACAUUCACUGGUACCGGAAAAUUCCAGGUGUUGUAGCAGCAUCUUCAUAUGAUGGGAAGAUCGGUGUACACAACUUGGAGUUCUCCAGCCUGUAUGCAGCUGGUGACAGCACUGUUGGUGCCUCAGCGCGUCCAAGAGCUGCAGCUCCAAAAUGGUUGAAAUGCCCCACGGGUGCAUCUUUUGGCUUUGGUGGCAAACUUGUUUCCUUCCAUCCAGCCCAAGGCACACAAGCGGGUACUUCUGAGGUGCAUGUGCAUAAUUUGGUGAUUGAGCAGAGUCUAGUAAGCCGGUCAACUGAAUUUGAAGCUGCUAUGCAGAAUAGGGACAAAAGUGCACUGCGUGCUUUGUGUGACCAAAAAUCACAAGAAUCUUUAUCCGAGGAGGAGAAAGAAACAUGGAGCUUCUUAAGGGUUAUGUUCGAGGAUGGGGAUACUGCCAGAACAAAAUUGCUUGUUCAUCUUGGAUUCAAUCCACCUCAAGAACCGACUGUGAAUGCAACUGAUGAGCUGAGCAAAGCAUUGGCUGAUACACUUAAUAUUGAUCAUGGUACUGAUAAUAUGGAUGCCCAAUUUCUUGCUGAUAACGGUGAUGAUUUUUUCAAUAAUCCUCAACCUUCAGAGACUAGCUUGGCUGAGGAGCCAAUGUCUACAAAUGUCCAAGAGAUUGAGCAGGAAAUGCCUGAAAAUAUUGUGCCAUCUGAUCCAUCAAUUGACAAAAGUAUUCAACAUGCAUUGGUAGUUGGAGACUACAAAGGUGCUGUUAAUCAGUGCCUUGCAGCAAAUCGUAUGGCUGAUGCUCUGGUUAUUGCCCAUGCUGGUGGUUCUGCUCUAUGGGAGAGCACCAGAAACCAAUAUCUUAAGAACAGUAUCUCACCCUAUUUAAAGGUUGUUUCUGCUAUGGUUGGCAAUGACUUGAUGAGUUUUGUGAGUACAUGGCCACUAAAUGCAUGGAAGGAAACACUUGCACUACUGUGCACAUUUGCCGGGAAAGAGGAAUGGAAUGUUUUAUGUGACACUCUUGCAUCUAGACUUCUGAGUGCUGGUGAUAUGCUAGCUGCGACCCUAUGUUACAUUUGUGCUGGAAAUAUUGAUAAAGCUGUUGAAAUAUGGUCUCGCAACCUGAGCUCUGAAGAUGGUGGAAAGACUUAUGUUGAUCUUCUCCAGGAUUUGAUGGAGAAGACCAUUACUCUCGCCCUUGCCACGGGCCAUAAGAGGUUUAGCGCGUCUCUAUCUAAGCUUGUUGAGAACUAUGCAGAGCUGUUGGCCAGUCAAGGCCUUCUUAAAACUGCAAUGGAGUACUUGAAGCUUAUGGGAGCAGAUGAAAAUUCAGAUGAGCUGACUAUACUGAGAGAUCGAAUUGCAUUUUCUACAGAAGAGAAUGAUGCUACCAGGAGUUCUGUUCCAGAGAGUAGUGCCAACAGCUCCUCCUACCUACCAAAUCAACAGAGCUACACCCCAGACCCUUCCCAGAAUCUUUACCAGGUGCCUCAACAAUAUAAUAAUGUGCAAAGCUAUCCAGAAGUUUACCCGCAACCACCUAAUAGUAGAGCCAAUGUGCCAAGCAAUACAUAUCCAGAAGUUUACCCGCAAUCACACAAUGCAGCCUACUCGGGAUAUGCUGGAUAUCAACCUCAACAUCAAACACAAAUGUUUGUUCCUCAAAACACACCAGUGGACACCCAGCCAAGCCCGGCUCCAUUCCCGGUUCCACAUCAAACAGUGAAGACAUUUACUCCUGCAAACGUACCGAGUCUCAAAAACCCAGAGCAAUAUCACCAAGCAAGUACCUUGGGUUCCCAGCUCUACACGCCUCCUGCGAAUUCAUCAUAUGCUCCUGGACCACCUGCCCAGUUCCAAAGUGGACCUCCCACCACGUUUCAUCAGCCUGCACCGCCGGCUCAAUACCAGACUGUUCCACCCGUCCCUUCAGUUCCAGGAACAAACCCUAACCAGAUGUUUACCCCUGCUGUUCCGACUAAUUCAGCUUCUAGGUUUAUACCGUCAACCAAUCAAGGUUUUGUUCAGCGGCCAGGCUUGAGUCCUGCACAGCCCUCAAGUCCAACACAGGCGCAACCACCAGCUCAGCCUACCGUUGCUCCUCCUGCACCUCCCCCCACUGUGCAAACAGCUGAUACAUCGAAUGUGUCUGCUGAGCUGAGACCUGUUAUUGCAACACUGACCAGACUAUUUGAUGAGACUUCCAAAGCCUUGGGAGGUGCACCAGCUAAAAAACGUGAAAUUGAAGACAACUCAAAGAAGAUUGGGGCAUUAUUUGCCAAACUCAACACUGGAGAUAUAUCUCCAAAUGUUUCAUCAAAACUCAUUCAGAUGUGCAGUGCACUUGAUAGUAGUGAUUUUGCCACUGCAAUGCAACUUCAGAUUCUUCUGACGACCAGUGAUUGGGAUGAGUGCAACUUUUGGCUCUCAUCAUUGAAGCGUAUGAUCAAGACAAGGCAAAGCUUCAGAGUGUAA
RNAcentral lists this ribosomal RNA (3408 nucleotides) under Triticum aestivum (bread wheat). RNAcentral's name for it is "partial small subunit ribosomal RNA". The record is from RNAcentral. Lineage: Eukaryota; Viridiplantae; Streptophyta; Magnoliopsida; Poales; Poaceae.